AAUUCGGAGGUCCUGGCGCCCGU
This 23-nucleotide non-coding RNA is filed under the name Cricetulus griseus (Chinese hamster). The record is from RNAcentral. Lineage: Eukaryota; Metazoa; Chordata; Mammalia; Rodentia; Cricetidae.